Cuculus canorus (common cuckoo) is the source of this 640-nucleotide long non-coding RNA. RefSeq lists it as uncharacterized. The transcript is spliced from 4 exons. Lineage: Eukaryota; Metazoa; Chordata; Aves; Cuculiformes; Cuculidae. The record is from RefSeq and is a predicted model, not a curated record.
CACAGCAAGAGGGCUACUCAGAGCAAGAGUCAUUGCAAGUUUCAGGGAAUAUAUCAGGGGAGAUAUCCAAUUAAAGAACUAGAACUAGAAAGCCUAAGAAAGUUUGUGAUGAUUAACCCAAUGACUUGAAAGAGAUACAGGAGAAGAAUAAGACUGAGAAACAAACACAGAAGCCAAGAAUAAGCUUUAACCACUAUCAGGACUGAUUUUCUACUCAGCAAAGAGGCUGCACCUGGAAAAGAAAUUUGGCCUCAGGUUUAAAAAUAAUAUCCCAGUGCCUGCUUCAAAUCUGGCUGAAGUUAAUAGGAACUGGCUUAAGUGAGUUUCUGUCAAGGUCUGCAGAUUUCAAGAAGUUGUUCAUAACUACCUGUGUUUAUUACAUGGUUGUCUGAGCUAUAGCAGCCAGCCCUUCUCCCAAGCCUGGAGGUUACUGACAACAACUUUGCUUCAAAACUUCUUAAUACCUACACCUCUCUCCAGUUCUUAAGUUUCUGAUGUGCUGAAGUGAUUUUUGUGCUGUUCCUUUUGGAAAUGUGAGUUCAGGCCUCAGCGAAAGCAGGAGUUUGAUCAAGGAGAAUAGGAACUGCUGGAAGAAAGAAACCUGUGGUGGUUGAUACAUGAUCUGAGACCCAGAGUACUU